This 1748-nucleotide long non-coding RNA is filed under the name Danio rerio (zebrafish). Its description in RNAcentral is "lncRNA (ENSDARG00000117258.1)". Lineage: Eukaryota; Metazoa; Chordata; Actinopteri; Cypriniformes; Danionidae. The record is from RNAcentral.
AUGCUGCCUGUCUUUCCAAAAUGACGAGCAGCGCUGAAUGGCUUGAGAAGAACUUUGGCCUGUUCUCUGGCUAUGCUACUGUGGAGUUUUUAGAAGCCCUGAAUGUCAAUUUCUCCAGUGUGCGUACCUGAUGCCUUUCUCCAGUUGUCCAUGUGAUCUGUCAUGAUGAAUCUUCUGUCUUUUUCAAGUGAAGGGCUUCACCUGCGCUAACUUCUGCUCUCUAUCUUGUCCUUCAGUUGGGAUCGCUGUCACUGCUGAACCCUACUCAAGUAGCUGAAAUCACCCUGAGCUCUGGAGCGCUAAACAACACUGAUCAGAUCGUGGUUGUGUUUGACCGGCUGGAGAAAGGCGACGCUUUCCUGAACAUGAAGGAAUUUCUGACAGAACUAAAUGCAGCUCCAGAGAUUCCUGUCAUCAGCCCUGCUGUGAGUGACGUGAUGAUGAACCGCACCUUCGCAAUCAUUGAAGGCUAUUUCCGGAAAUUUGAGACUCACGAUUGGGUGGUGUGGUUCACCGUGAAUCUCGUUCCCAUCCUCCCCAGUUUCACCACAGAAAUGCUGGUUAAGGUCACAGCUUCAGUCAACUGCACCGACUACCGUGUGAUGUGAGUGAUAUUUGUAAAUGUUUCUGUAGCUCUUUAAAAUAUUCCUCCGUCAGUCAGUGAAUUUUUUUAUGCACAUUCACAUUCAUGGCUUCACAAUAGUUGCUAUUACUUAUCAGUGAAUAAUUUAAAGUACAUCUCUCAAAGGUUGAAGUCCUAUCUUUAUAUUUUUUUAUCUUGGACUGAUUAAAUGCAUAUAUAUUUUUGCAAAUCCUUUAAAACUCUAAAACUGUCCAGAAGAUGUUGAUUUUGCUUUGUGUGUUUAUUUCAAUGCAAUGAACAGUACACAUCUUGUUAAUCUCAUGUCAUUUACAGUGUUAAAGGUCUUAGUAAGGUUUAUUCUCAAAUGCCUGUCCAAAGAAGAAAGGAAAUUGCUGCAGGUCUAGUGGCACACCUUAAACAAAUUGUCUACCAGAUCAAUCAGCCAGCCUGCAAACAGGGCAUCACAAAUGAUUCUGACUGGCUGCAAAUGAACCUUGGUCAGUUCUUCAACUAUGUGCCUUAUUCGGACCUAGCCGCAUUCAACAUCUCAUCGGAAGCCGUGUUUGGCUCUCUAACUGAUGAACAGAAGGUUGAGCGUAUCCUGAUCCCGGGUCUCCUGGAGGACGAAACCUCUGUCAGACAACUCUUUGCAUCUGUUGUAAACUCUCAAAACCAGUUAAAACAGUUCUUCAUCACAUUCACUAGCAUGUCUGCACAGAGGAACGUCUUUAGUGUCAGCACUACUGUGAGCAGCGUCAUUCUGAACAUGACACUGGUGGCCCUGGAGGACAGAUUCCAAAACUUCUUUCCGCAGACAUUUGCUGAUUGGUUCCAGACUUACCUUCGCAUUUUCCUCCCUGGGAUCGGGCCAAACACCCUCUCUGUCAUCCCCUUGACCAUCAACUGCGAUUCUUACACAGAAAUUGUGAGAGGCUGUGAUGAUGUAUUCAGCAAACUCACAUCGGUACAGACCAAUGAUGUCUACAGAUUCACAAUGGACUAUCUGACCCAUAAGCCCAGUCCAGGUAUAUUGCGUGUGUCUGUGUGUGUGUGCGUGUGUCUGUGUGUGUGCGUGUGUGUGUGUAUACCUAUUAUUGCUUGCAUUUUGGUGGGGCCAAAUGUCCCCACAAGUAUAACAAUGCCAGUAAUUUUCAACCUUUUUUAG